UGAACGUGUGGCCCCAAUUGUAAUAUAAGUCGAGCGUUGUAGUUGGACUGGGACGAUUAUCGUAUAUUACCGACGCGUACUAGACACAAGAAAAUUUUCGCGCAAAUCGAAAGAAAAGAGUGGGAGAUACAAGUGGCGCGAAUGAGAGAAUACACGAAUGAAUGUAUUGAGAGAUUUUAGAUAUAGGUAAAUAAAAACAGAGAUAUAGAUAUCAGUGAGAAAGAGAGAGGGGGG
Molecule: long non-coding RNA, 234 nt
Organism: Trachymyrmex cornetzi
Lineage: Eukaryota; Metazoa; Arthropoda; Insecta; Hymenoptera; Formicidae
Exons: 3
Source: RefSeq, a predicted model, not a curated record